Long non-coding RNA from Cicer arietinum (chickpea), 516 nucleotides. RefSeq lists it as uncharacterized. NCBI's taxonomy places the organism in Eukaryota, Viridiplantae, Streptophyta, Magnoliopsida, Fabales, Fabaceae. The record is from RefSeq and is a predicted model, not a curated record.
AUUUCUUGUCCAUCUGAGAGAAUUCCCUGAAUAGCAUACAGAAGAAGUCAACAUGGAAAAGAAGUAUUAUUGAUAUUAUCAUUUAAUGUAGUACUAGUUGAUAUAUUUACUUUGUAGACUUCUCCAAAUCCACCUUUCCCUAUCCUGUUUUCUACACCAAAUCUGUUUGUUGCAGCUUCAAUUGUGGCUAAUUCAAAUUGCAAGGACUCCAAAGAGAAAGCAACAGCAACCCAAGACUGAAAGCACCAGUGAUACAACAACUGGAACAACGAUCACAAUUGAUAUUAGUGUCUUCUGUUUUUCUUUUCCUGCAACAAUAUCAGUACCUUGUGUCAUUUUCAGUUUGCCAUUAAAAAUGGUUAUGUACCUAAGCAACAUAUGUUUCUUAAACCUGUAAGAAUUUUAUCGUUUGAACUAUUUCUCUUGAAUGAUGAAAAGAAAGAAAACAGAGCUUAGGGGUUGGUAACAUGUACUAUGAAUGUAGACAAUAUGUAAUUUACAAAUUCUUUUUCCUCC